GAUGAACGCUGGCGGCGUGCCUAAUACAUGCAAGUCGAGCGAACAGAUGAGGAGCUUGCUCCUCUGACGUUAGCGGCGGACGGGUGAGUAACACGUGGAUAACCUACCUAUAAGACUGGGAUAACUUCGGGAAACCGGAGCUAAUACCGGAUAAUAUAUUGAACCGCAUGGUUCAAUAGUGAAAGACGGUUUUGCUGUCACUUAUAGAUGGAUCCGCGCCGCAUUAGCUAGUUGGUAAGGUAACGGCUUACCAAGGCGACGAUGCGUAGCCGACCUGAGAGGGUGAUCGGCCACACUGGAACUGAGACACGGUCCAGACUCCUACGGGAGGCAGCAGUAGGGAAUCUUCCGCAAUGGGCGAAGGCCUGACGGAGCAACGCCGCGUGAGUGAUGAAGGUCUUCGGAUCGUAAAACUCUGUUAUUAGGGAAGAACAAAUGUGUAAGUAACUAUGCACGUCUUGACGGUACCUAAUCAGAAAGCCACGGCUAACUACGUG
This 497-nucleotide ribosomal RNA is filed under the name uncultured bacterium. RNAcentral's name for it is "partial 16S ribosomal RNA". It matches the Rfam family "Bacterial small subunit ribosomal RNA", at positions 28 to 507 of the family's 1533-position model. The record is from RNAcentral.